GGCAGCCCCCGUGGGUCCCCUUCCACACUGUGGGAGCUUUGUUCUUUCGCUCUUUGCAAUAAGUCUUGCUGCUGCUCAUUCUUGGGGUCCACACUGCCUUUACAAGCUGUAACACUCACCGUGAAGGUCUACAGCUUCACUCCUGAAGCCAGCGAGACCACGAACCCACCGGGAGGAAUGAACAACUCCAGACGCGCUGCCUUAAGAGCUGUAACACUGACCGCGAGGCUUUGCAGCUUCACUCUUGAGCCUCUGCAGCUUCACUCUUGAGCCAGCAAGACCACAAACCCGCCAGAAGGAACAAACUCUGAACACAUCCGAACAUCAGAAGGAACAAAUUCUGGACACGCUGCCUUAAAGAACUGGGUUUCAUUCUUGAAGUCAGUGAGGCCAAAAACCCACCAAUUUUGAACACAGUAGGAGCACACUGGAAGGCCAUUGACAGCGGAAGGACAUGGAGUUUGGCCGGGCUCCAGGGAAAAACCAUCUCUCUUUUGGCUCCCCCAUCUGAUGAGAGCUACUUCCACUUAAUAAAACCUUGCACUUAUUCUCCAUGCCCACGUGUGAUCCGAUUCUUCUCGUAAACCAAGGCAAGAUCCCUGGGAUACAGAAAGUCCUCUGUCUUUGUGAUAAGGCAGGGGUCUAAUGGAGCUAACACAAGCUGCCUAUGGGUGGCUGAACUAAGAGCACCCUGUAACACACGCCCACUGGGGCUUCAGUUGUAAACAUUCACUCCUAGACACUGCCUUAAGGUUGGAGCUCCACAAUCUGCUAGUUUGUAUGCUCCCCCUCUGCUCCCGUACAGGUUUGAGCGGCGGGGAACUGAAGCAGCGAGCCACACGCCCCGUCGCAUGCCUUGUGAGAGGGACAAGGGAACUUUUCCG
This 884-nucleotide long non-coding RNA is filed under the name Homo sapiens (human). Its description in RNAcentral is "HSALNT0333498". Lineage: Eukaryota; Metazoa; Chordata; Mammalia; Primates; Hominidae. The record is from RNAcentral.